GAUGAACGCUAGCUACAGGCUUAACACAUGCAAGUCGAGGGGCAGCACAGUGUAGCAAUACGACGGGUGGCGACCGGCGCACGGGUGCGUAACGCGUAUCCGACCUACCCAUAACACGGGGCACAGCCGCUCGAAAGAGUGAUUGAUUCCCGAUAUGUCAUUAGAGUAGAUUUAAUGAUGAAAGAUUUAUCGGUUAUGGAUGGGGAUGCGUAAGAUUAGGUAGUAGGCGGGGUAACGGCCCACCUAGCCGACGAUCUUUAGGGGUUCUGAGAGGAAGGUCCCCCACACUGGUACUGAGACACGGACCAGACUCCUACGGGAGGCAGCAGUGAGGAAUAUUGGUCAAUGGGCGGAAGCCUGAACCAGCCAAGUAGCGUGAAGGAUUACAGCCCUACGGGUUUAAACUUCUUUAUAUAAGAGUAAUGUGCACUACGUGUAGUGUAUUGCAAGUAUUAUAUGAAUAAGCAUCGGCUAACUCCGUG
Molecule: ribosomal RNA, 482 nt
Filed under: uncultured bacterium
Lineage: Bacteria
Description: bacterial SSU rRNA
Rfam family: Bacterial small subunit ribosomal RNA
Source: RNAcentral